UCCUUCAUCAACGACAUCUUCGAGAAGCUCGCCGGGGAGUCCGCCAAGCUGGCCCGCUACAACAAGAAGCCCACCAUCACCUCCCGGGAGAUCCAGACCUCCGUCCGCCUCGUCCUCCCCGGGGAGCUCGCCAAGCACGCCGUCUCCGAGGGCACCAAGGCCGUCACCAAGUUCACCUCCUCCUAGACUGACGAUGCGUCGCUUGUUGUGACAGAUGUGGCUGUCUGAUGUAUCUGCAAGUAGAAGUAGUAGUUCGUGUGGUAGAAGAUUGCCAACGCUUUGUUGGCUUCUUGGUUGUGAGAACUGAACGUGUUGCUUUUGCAAACUGAAAUCUAUCUAAAAAAUGUUGCGGUUGUGGUACUACUACAUCUGUGACAGUGAUGUUCUUACUAAUGCUGGCUUUUCUACUCAUCUUAAGCUGAAUACAGCCAUGUUCGUGCAUUUGUGUUUUAUCUGCAAGCAGUAGUACCGCUGCUGGUUCUGAAUGGCUGAUUGCUUGCUGAAUCUUGUUUUGCAAA
This 518-nucleotide long non-coding RNA is filed under the name Triticum aestivum (bread wheat). Its description in RNAcentral is "long non-coding RNA (TAES_LNC009383)". Lineage: Eukaryota; Viridiplantae; Streptophyta; Magnoliopsida; Poales; Poaceae. The record is from RNAcentral.